RNAcentral lists this ribosomal RNA (483 nucleotides) under uncultured bacterium. RNAcentral's name for it is "partial 16S ribosomal RNA". It matches the Rfam family "Bacterial small subunit ribosomal RNA", at positions 28 to 507 of the family's 1533-position model. The record is from RNAcentral.
GACGAACGCUGGCGGCGUGCUUAACACAUGCGAGUCGAACGCUGAAGCUCAGCUUUAGUUGGGUGGAUGAGUGGCGAACGGGUGAGUAACACGUGAGUAACCUGCCUCCUUCUUUGGGAUAACGCCCGGAAACGGGUGCUAAUACUGGAUAUUCACUGGUCUUCGCAUGGGGGUUGGUGGAAAGGGUUUUUCUGGUGGGGGAUGGGCUCGCGGCCUAUCAGCUUGUUGGUGGGGUGAUGGCCUACCAAGGCUUUGACGGGUAGCCGGCCUGAGAGGGUGACCGGUCACAUUGGGACUGAGAUACGGCCCAGACUCCUACGGGAGGCAGCAGUGGGGAAUAUUGCACAAUGGGCGCAAGCCUGAUGCAGCGACGCCGCGUGAGGGAUGGAGGCCUUCGGGUUGUGAACCUCUUUCGCUCAUGGUCAAGCCGCAACAAUGGUUGUGGUGAGGGUAGUGGGUAAAGAAGCGCCGGCUAACUACGUG